AGUUCUAAGGAAAGACCUGCAAUAGGCAGAUUUAAUUAGCUCUUGCAGCUCUUGCAUAAUGUAUGUUUAAGUAGGCACAUAUCCGUAUCUUUAUUUACGAAAGAGAAAGCAUGGAGAAUAUUAUAAUUAACACAUAAGUUAGAAUCAACUGCGCGUUGUAGGCUAUCAUACGAUCCGUCAUUGAGUCGAGUGGCGUGGUUUCAAUUUUCCGCGUACGUGUAUGUGACAAGGAGUCGCCUGUCCAAUCUCAUGGGUUUUAUCUGGUUUCCUCCCAAUGCUAAAAAGACCACUAGACGCAAGCGAAUUAUUGAAAAAAACCCAACAUAUCUUAGUCUCGAAAUGACCUAGUGUGUGUCUAUCUUGAUUAUCCCGGAUGGCAGAGUUUUAAAAGUAAGACGUUAAACCCCAUUUCAUAAUAAGUUGGAGUUUUUUUGUUCUGUCCGGACACGAUCUAAAAUCAAUGGUUUUAUUUUUUAUCUUUUUACACGUCAUAUAUAUAAAUAUUGGCCGAUACUUGUAAAGGUGAAGGUCACACCUUUGUCUUCAAUCGGUCUGAAUCACGUCAUUUAGAAUUGUACAGGUGUUGUAUAGUUUACUUCUGUCGAGGUCUUUAUUUAAAUCUUUAAUACUGACGUAACGAUUAUGAUGUAAAUAAUCAGUGAACAGGUGUGUUGAAAAAUAAUGAUUGCUGAAGUAUCUGUUCUUCUUACGGUCCUUCUAGUGGAAAACGUAUGUGGUCGUAGAGGUUACCGCGGAUCUAGUGGUUCAGGAGAACAUGAUGUAGCAAUAUAUAUUGGUUGUCUCGUAGGAGGUUUGGUUGUUUCAAUAAUCACCAUACUACUACUUUACUUCUGUUACAAACGAUGGCUACGUCGAAUGGAUGCUGCUGAGAAUACCAGAAAGAUACAUAGUAUGAAUACAGAAAUGAUUAACGGGCAUAUGUAUUUUGUCCAUGAUAAAUAUGAGCCAAACGUCGACCUAUCAUUUGAUUCAGAUGCCAAGAGUACCUUCCGGCUUGAACCCGUUCCAACCAAGCCAUCAAGUUAUAUAUAGCCAGUAUUUUUUUAAAGUGUUAAAUCAGUUUUUUACAUAUAUCUUUAUUUUUAUAUCCCGGUGAAAAAAUGAUUUCAGGAAUUUUACUGUGUUAAUGUAGUCGUCGUUUUUGUCAGUGGGUAGAUUUACGUAUAUCUUACUCAAAUCUAUGUAGAUCUAAAAGCAUUGCUGGUUUCCAAAUACCUGUAGUCAUUUUAACCAAUAUAAAUUCUGUUGGGGACAGAAAUCACCGUAGAAUCACCUGUAUAUCUCAAAGACCUUCUUUAGAAUUAAAAACCCUCACAUCUUCAUUUUUACAUGCCAAACAGUAAAACACUACGUGGCCAACCUCUUUCUGGGUUGCAGUGCCAAAACUUUGAAACGACAUGUGCUUUAAAAAACAAGGAUCGGUUCCGGUGGUACUUUUUACCGCCGACCACCGCCGACUACCGCCAACCACCGCCGACUACCGCCGACCAAAUGCUUUUUACCGCUGACCGUCGUGUAAUUACUGCCGACCAAAUAUUUUUUACCGCCGACCGCAUUAUAAUGACUUUCGACCGUAAUAUAAUUACCGCCGAACAAAUACUUGUUACCACCGAUGCUUAAUGAUUCCUUGUUACCGCCGACUAUUUUACGGUUGUUUUUUUUUUAUAAAAAAAGAAUACAACAAGAAUGUUAUUUUUUAUUUGAGGUGUAAUCACGUACAACUGUCGAAAAACAUUCAUAUUUAUUUUAAAGAAUAUGGAAGGACAAAACUACAAUUUAGAUAUUGAAGGGCAAAUAUAUCAAGAUUGUUUCAGCUACUGGUUAUAAAUAUAUAACAUUUUAGGCCUAUUUUCUAUUAGUGCGAACACUUCUACACCUUUUGGUUUGAUGGGGUUUUUGGGCUGGUAAUUUUGCUUUCUUUACUACACAAAAUUUUUGGUUUGUUGAACAAAUAAUUUCUUCUUCGUCGCGCUUCCUUUUCGAGUCUUUAAGAAAAUUUGCAAAACAUUUUUCUUUUUGCUCUUCGCUGAAACAGCGCCACUUUUGUUCAGAAACAGAAUAUGCUUUAUAGCGACCACAAAGUUCAUAAUCUCCAGAAAAAUACAGGAUAGAUCUUAAAUUUAUUGAUUGAAAAUUCACACACAUAUACAGCUUCUCGAUUAAUUCUGGAGCCUUUUGGGGUUUCCAGUCAAUGGCACAUUUAAAAAUAUGGUUUGCGGAUUCCGCGUUGUUAUUUGUCCAUAAUUUGACUUCGUCACCUUUUCUCUUUGGUAUAUAAACGAACUUUGUUAUUCUAUCUUUCACGGUUUUAAGGUACUUUUGUAGGUCUGGGUAUUUUUCGUACACGGUCGAGAUGUCAUGCUUUCUUCUUUCAAAGUCUAUCGUGUCGUUUGCACACGCAACUCCUUCAGUUCCAAAGAACUUAUCUACAAUUUGGGAUAGCUCACUAACAUUAAGUCCCACUUUAUUUUGUAAGUGAAAUAUUAUAUUGUCUUUAAUAUGCUUGGUCGGCAGUAAAAAGUAUUUGGUCGGUGGUAAUGUCACGAUAGUCGGCGGUAAAAGUAUUGGUCGGCGGUAGUCGGCGGUGGUCGGCGGUAAAAAGUACCACCCGAUCGGUUCUCGUUUCAAUGCAUUUACCUCAUUGUUUUACCUCAUAUUUUGAUUUAACUUUUGCCAUGUAUAUAAAAAAAUAUGAUAUUUUAUCUAUUCAUAAGAACACACAACACGAGGUAUAUAUGGAUGUAACUACUUCUCUAUUAUUUAAUAACGACGUUUCGUAACACAUACAGGUCACAUUUUUUAAAGAAUUGAUAUUUUAUCUGUAUUGUGUUGUUGUUUUUUUUAAUUUUAUAGUUUUUUUUUUACUGUUUAUGCUUUAUUUUUGAUACCAUGUGUUUAUUAUAGCAUAAGAAUUGUUAUAGAUUGUAUUUUUUAUAUAUGAAAAAGAAUUGUUCUGGGUUAUAUUAUUCAUUGUUUAAAUAUAAGAUAUUAAAUAUAAGGAUAAUGAAAUAUAAUUUUCGGCUAUAUACACUUUUCCUGUAUUUGAUUAUAUGCAAGAUAUUGCCAUCUGCUAAUUUUCUUCUUAUGACUGACAUGAUACAUAAUUUUGAAGAGAGAACAUAAAAAUCCUCUUUAAUCUGUGGUUAUUUCCCACACUAGUCACAAUUUGGUAGGACCAUAAAUGAAUUUUCAGAAAAAAUCUGCUCUAGGCAUAGUAGGUUCCCUUUAUCUAUCUCCGAGCUGCGUCAUUGCUGUCGCGUCGAACUUGAAAAUUGUUAAAAUACUUACGAUAUAGAUGAUAGCCAGAAAGGUCGCCCAGUAAUAAACAUUAAUUAUUGUAUUCCAUUAGUAUUGUGACAUAUGUAUUUCUAGUAAAAAUAUUAAAUUCCAUUGAAACAAUGUAACCUUUGGACAAGAUUCCUAAUUUUUGUCAGAUAUUAUGACAUCUAUGUAUCAUUAAUAAUAAUUUAAAACAUUUUA
Patella vulgata (common limpet) is the source of this 3501-nucleotide long non-coding RNA. RefSeq lists it as uncharacterized. The record is from RefSeq and is a predicted model, not a curated record. Lineage: Eukaryota; Metazoa; Mollusca; Gastropoda; Patellidae. The transcript has 4 exons.